Molecule: ribosomal RNA, 400 nt
Filed under: uncultured bacterium
Lineage: Bacteria
Description: bacterial SSU rRNA
Rfam family: Bacterial small subunit ribosomal RNA
Source: RNAcentral
GGGGAAUAUUGCACAAUGGGGGAAACCCUGAUGCAGCAACGCCGCGUGAGUGAUGAAGGUCUUCGGAUUGUAAAGCUCUGUCUUCAGGGACGAUAAUGACGGUACCUGAGGAGGAAGCCACGGCUAACUACGUGCCAGCAGCCGCGGUAAUACGUAGGUGGCAAGCGUUGUCCGGAUUUACUGGGCGUAAAGGGAGCGUAGGCGGACUUUUAAGUGGGAUGUGAAAUACCCGGGCUUAACCUGGGUGCUGCAUUCCAAACUGGGAGUCUAGAGUGCAGGAGGGGAAAGUGGAAUUCCUAGUGUAGCGGUGAAAUGCGUAGAGAUUAGGAAGAACACCGGUGGCGAAGGCGACUUUCUGGACUGUAACUGACGCUGAGGCUCGAAAGCGUGGGGAGCGAAC